CUAUCAAAAUUUUGACAUGACGAAACAAUUUUCUAUUUGUGUUCUAAAAGAGUAGUCUGCAGCAGAAGUUGGCGUUGUUGGUGUAAGUGAAAAUUUGUUGUCGGAAAUAGUUAUUUUUCUGAACUGUUUUCGUAUAAAUUUUCUUACUGCUGGUGUUCGUGUAAUAUUCAAGGAGGAGACGACGACAAUGAAUCGUAAUGGAUAUGUAAUCUAGUUUAUUCAUAAUGGCCGGCCAUGUUUGCCGGGGUAAAGCGGCGGUCUUCCAACAUUCGUGUCAUGCAGUUGUUCCAUGAAUUGAAACAACAGUUUCCGACGGUACCGGACCACAUUGUCACCGCUUGCAUUACUAAUUACGGUCAAAAAACCAAUAACAACUACUGUAAAGACGAUCAGCAGAAAUCAAUUCAGGAAAUUCUGAAAGCCACAAUCGCUUCCGAAAACCAGGAGUCCAUGGGCCAGCAAGCAGUUGCUCCUGCCGAUCCCGCAGUCCCGCGUAUGUCUAAAUCUAAUGUUGAGACAAAUUUUUCAAACGAUACCAUAGAAGAACAAUAUCUUUGUGACGAAAAAAGGCAAGUCGCCAAUUCCGAGAUCCUCGCUUUGGACGGAGGUCGUAACGGUAAACCAAAAAGGCCUCAUAGAAAAAAUCAUCAUCAAAAGAAAGUCAAAGGAAGCGCCGUUAAAAAAAGCACAAAAGACGAAAUCGAUAACCAACAGCAUCCGAGCUGUUGUGCUGCAGAUUAUUCUCAAUCGAGCAAAUCAUUUUUGGACAAUUUGGACAUUAAAGUUGACGCCAGAAGCAAUCAAAAUAGCCCCGAUCGACAUCGACUCGAAAUGAACGAAGGUGAUAGUGAUCCUAACCGAAAUGUGAAACCGAAUGCGUUUUAUUCGAAAAAUUCCGAAAGUGUUAGUGUAAGUUGCUCAAACCCGAAUAGUGAAACUGAACAGAAAGUGGGAAACAGUUCGUUCUUUGUUAAAAGACCAACCUAUUUAAAUAUCAAACCCGAUCAGCCUGCUACCCCUCACGAUUUAGUUGAUGCCAACAUACGACCAUCCGAACGGUGUUUCGAUAUACAGAAACUCUUACAUUCAGAACACUCUGACAGUAAACCCCCACGUUCCCCUCUUACUUCUAAACGCUUUCUUAGGGGAUCACCCAGUAAACCUGAUGGCAUAACCACAACAAAGUCACCGUUAGUUUCUCCUGAUACCAAGAAACCUCCUUUGUCUCCCAAAUCAAACAGGGCACAUCAUUUUCAGGAUAGCCCCAUAUCUAAGAGCUUUAUAUCCCCUGCAUCUCAAUUUAGCAAUAAUCCUAUCCUAUCCCCAAGCGUAGAUGUAAGUGCUUCCGUAUUUCAAAGCAAAAACCUUACUGGCGAAACUUCUAAUAUCGGAGACUGUAAAAAAGACUGUGAAAAGUGCGCUGAUUUAGUUGGAGUUGGAACACCAGCUCAAGCUGUUACGCCUCUUCUGGAGGCAGGCGCGAGUGUUAAUCUUUCCCUCAAAGUUGAUUGCUCCAUGGGUUUAGUUCAAUCCCCAACCAGACCUCGACGUAGUUCGGUGUUAAAUGUAACACCAGAACUACCCUGGUGUUCUCCCGAGUCACCUUCUUCCCAGAGAAGCUACACGAGCGUCAAUUUGACUUUAAGGCCACCCUCGUCAGAACCUCAAGCUCCUAUUAACAUCACGUCCCAAAAUUCUAGUCUCACGUACUCUACCAGCAGCUUUGAUUCCCAAAAAGGUCUUCAAAGUCGGCUUCAGAUCACUGUCGGGCCCAGUGGAGGUACGGUCUCUUCGGUGAGAACGCGUCCGAAGAGCAGUUACAUUCCUCAGGAGAGCCCACAAGAAACUGUGCCUGCAAGAGCCGGCUCUUUACCAGAUUUAGCGGCAAACGAAUCGACGUCUGUGAUAUCGAAGCAGCAGGUUCGAAUAGACAGGUUACGGAUAGAACUUGUUACGGAAAAGGGUAGGUUGAUAGCGAUGCAACGGGAAGUUGCAGCAUUAGAAAACCCACUUACCAAUUCUUUAACGACCAAGGUGGACGUGGAAUUGGAAAAGCAGCUUUUGAACGAAAUUAAGCAUUUAAGGGGCCAGUGUGAGAGACUUGUGUUUGAAGUGGAAGGUCAGGUAGAAUGUAGAGUUCCUUUAGGUGAAACAAAUGAAGAGUUUUAUCGAAAUAUUUACACGGGUCAAAGGGGCCCUUUAACAAUCGAAAGGCCCUUCAGUAACCGUCGCCUCCAAUACCAAGGACCUUCACCGGUUGCUGUGUCGGAGGUGGACGGUCCAAAAUGGAAUUGUCCCGUGUGUACAUUCCAAAAUCAUCCUCUAUUGAAUAAAUGUGAACAGUGUGAAAUGCCUCGAAUUCUUCAUGUUUCUGCAGCCCCUGGUGAUAAUAUUCAUAUACACGUGACUCCAAGAAUAUCAAGGCGUAAGAUAUUGUUGUGGCUUUGUGUUUUAAAACAAAUUAUUUAUUAUUUUGCAUGAGUUCACAAAUUAUUUAUGUUAUCAUCUAACUGAUCGUUGGUUUUGUUACUGUGUUGUUGCAUUUAUUAACAGUUUAAACAGGAAUUGUGCAUUCGUGGGUUUUAUAGCGAAGUGGUCGUCCUGGGAAUUUUAGCUAAAAAACUAGUCAAUACUAGUCUUGACUACUUAUUUGUACCUUUUAUUAAAAGGGAAACUUAGUACGUAAUAAUAAUCAUUAAGUGGCGGUGAUAUAAUUAAGAAAAUUAAUUUUGUAAA
Molecule: unclassified non-coding RNA, 2736 nt
Filed under: Agrilus planipennis (emerald ash borer)
Lineage: Eukaryota; Metazoa; Arthropoda; Insecta; Coleoptera; Buprestidae
Description: mitogen-activated protein kinase kinase kinase 7- interacting protein 3 homolog, transcript variant X2
Source: RNAcentral